Solea solea (common sole) is the source of this 1012-nucleotide long non-coding RNA. RefSeq lists it as uncharacterized. NCBI's taxonomy places the organism in Eukaryota, Metazoa, Chordata, Actinopteri, Pleuronectiformes, Soleidae. The record is from RefSeq and is a predicted model, not a curated record. The transcript is spliced from 2 exons.
GUUGUCUCUUAAAUGGAGGAGCCGGGCACUUUUCAUUCAGGGUGGAAACUCCAGCAGAUAAACAAGCAGCAAGGAGCAGCACUGCAGAGGCCUAAUUUGCCAAACAGUUCCACAUCAUCCUGCCAUGGGUAACUCAGCAUCUACCAGCUUCAACAUGCCUGCACCAAAGAGACUGUCCCUGGGGCGUCAGAAAGAAGACACGGUGAAGCUGGAGGACUUUAUGACACAGUGUGAAGAGGAUUUCUGGAGAGUUAAAGCAAAAAAACGCUUGUCUGUGAAAAAGAUCCACUUCAUUCGCAGCAUCAGUUACGUUGACUUAAAUGUCCAGGAGAGCAAUGGUUUUUAUCCAAACAGCGGCGAAAUGCUGAACCUUGCUUUCAUUGGAGAUUAGGGGACGUGAGAGACUGAACUCUAUGGGGAAAUCUCAUGUCGACACAACAGCUCAGCGUGGAGGAGUCUCCGGUGUGAUGUUUGAAGGGGACACAGCAAAUUGUCUCUGUGAUGCUUCUGCAACCCUGCAAUUUUUUCUCUCUCACCACAAGACUGAAGGUGUGAUCGUGAACAAAGUGAUGAACUGAAUAUGAGUCAGGUUCCUUCCUUUUUUUAAAGAUGUGUUAAGAUUAAAAAAAAAAGUUUUCACUCACAGGACAGGUCAUAAGACAAAAACUUUUAGAUGUCGACUGAGACAAGGACAUUCAUUCUGUCUUCCCAGCUCUCUGUCCAUGGUGCACUCAGUGUAAGGUACAGUAAAGAUCAUUUUCCCUGUAGAGAACACAUUUCAUAACUGAAAUGUGCGUUGACGCCUAAUUAGCUGAUCUCUGUGACCUUUUUUUUUUUCAUUGCUUUCAGUCAGCACUUGCUGUCUCGAUAAAUGUUUCACCUUUGCACAACCUGGAUCUUAAAUCAAUGUAUCACUUCUUAACAUUGUGGAAAAAAGAGCAAAAAAUGAUGUUUCUAACUAAGAUUUAUGAGCAAACGAUUUGAAAAAAAUACAUUCAAAUAUUCCAGCUGA